This 433-nucleotide ribosomal RNA is filed under the name uncultured bacterium. Its description in RNAcentral is "partial 16S ribosomal RNA". It matches the Rfam family "Bacterial small subunit ribosomal RNA", at positions 29 to 507 of the family's 1533-position model. The record is from RNAcentral.
AACGAACGCUGGCGGCAUGCCUAACACAUGCAAGUCGAACGAGACCUUCGGGUCUAGUGGCGCACGGGUGCGUAACGCGUGGGAACCUGCCCUUAGGUUCGGAAUAACUCCCCGAAAGGGGUGCUAAUACCGGAUAAUGUCUUCGGACCAAAGAUUUAUCGCCUUUGGAUGGGCCCGCGUUGGAUUAGCUAGUUGGUAGGGUAAAAGCCUACCAAGGCGACGAUCCAUAGCUGGUCUGAGAGGAUGAUCAGCAACACUGGGACUGAGACACGGCCCAGACUCCUACGGGAGGCAGCAGUGGGGAAUAGUGGACAAUGGGCGAAAGCCUGAUCCAGCAAUGCCGCGUGAGUGAUGAAGGCCUUAGGGUUGUAAAGCUCUUUUACCCGGGAUGAUAAUGACAGUACCGGGAGAAUAAGCUCCGGCUAACUCCGUG